Molecule: long non-coding RNA, 1833 nt
Organism: Anguilla anguilla (European eel)
Lineage: Eukaryota; Metazoa; Chordata; Actinopteri; Anguilliformes; Anguillidae
Exons: 2
Source: RefSeq, a predicted model, not a curated record
CACCCACCCACCCCCACCCCCUUGCAUGCCAGCACCAAAGGCAGGCAAUUCGGACGGUGGCUUCAGUCGAACUCUGUUGCCUUUGGAGCUUCCAUGACCAGUUGGUAGCUCAUUUUACCGGAUUGACAUCAAACGGGCUUGUGGAUGUUUGAGAUCUGACGCUGACGUGAAAUCCAGCUGGCGUGGGACUGGCUGCACUGCGACCUGAUCGUUUCAUGGCAAGUCACCACAGUUCCUGUGUGCUGUUUUUAUGUUUUACAGAAUGUCUCUCUCAGAGGGGAAGAAAUGUAUUCUGCUCACGUAGCAGAUUAAGUCUAGCAAAAAAAAAAAAAAACAAAAGAAAGGCAUUCACUCGUUCUUCGGAUGGAUUUCAUACAUUCGAGUUAAAGCUCUAAUCUGUUGCCAUUUCAUUACCUCAUUAGAAGUAGCUUUAGUUCAGUCUAAAUGCUGUAAAUCGUUCAAAAGGAUAAUCAAAGAUGUUCGGGUUCAGCCUCAUAAUAGUGAUUCAUACCUCACAAAGAUAUUAAUUUAUACCUCACACAAUGCUAAUGGUCCCGUAGGAUUACGCGCCGUGUAAUCUGUUAACUGUACAAAUGAAAAGGGUUUGUGUGUUCUUCGUUCAGUCUUCACACACACAAGCCUGCAUGCACAGUUUUUGUGAUGUGGCGUUGCUUUGCUGUUGUUAAGGUCUGAGUAGGAAAAUCUUGGAGACAUGGGAUAGCUCACGACCAAUAUGCACUUGCUGUUAAACUACCCGCCCCCCCCCCCCCCCCCCCCCAACGAACACAAAUGUAUUGACCUGGAUUGUUCACUGGAAGCAAACUUGGUGCCCCAGAGUCCUGUAAAUGGUAUAUUCUCUAUUUUGCAGGUCUUGUGUGUGUGUGUGUGUGUGUGUGUGUGUGUGUACAAUUCCCAGCAGUAUGUAGAUAGAUACAUAUUUCAGAGAAUGGGUAUGAAGCAUUUGUACUGUUGAAGCUAACACAGCCCUCGGUGGUUGAAAUUAUACCGUGUGGAUUUUUCUGAUGCAAGACUGUGCUCUCAAGGUCUUGGAAGUGUGAGGAGGGAGGCGGUGGGGUGAGGCAGCGGGUGUGUUCUAUAUAUAAUGUGCUCUUUUUUUUUUUUUAUUGAGUCGCCACAUUGUUUUUUGUCAACCGAGUUGACUUUUUAAUGCAAGGAAAUCCCAACGCUUCAGACUUUUGGAAGGACUACGAAAUUAAGACGGUCAAUUUGGAAAGCACUUGGUAUUUUGUGAAUCUUUUGAAUAAAAGAGAACCUCAACUAACCAUUGUUUUCUUUGUUGCUGUUCUAAGCAAAAUGGCUGGUGUAUGGUUAGUUUAUUAAAGAUGACAUUGGUUGUAUUGUGAAAACUGUACCAUUUGCCAAAUUCUUGACUCAUUUUUUUUUCCAUCCUUAUCCAUGUCUAUCACCAUUUGUACAAUUUACAUUGUAAAAUCAAUUCUGAUUAAUACCGAAUGUCAUUUGAUCAUGUUACCUGGACACUUCUAACUGACCUUCAAGUCCGCUAAGGUUGAGUUGCUACUCUUUGCUGUAAUACUACAUGUGCGCUAGAGUAUUACAAUUAGAUGUGAAACAGGGUAAAAGCUGUGAAAAUGUCCUUUUGGAAUUUUUCAGGUAUGAUGAGGGUAGUUACACAGGUUUUCGAGAUUUCAGCAUGAUGAAUAAGAGUAUUGUAUAGUCCAUACACGUUUAGUCCUAUCGGAUUGAUAGUCUUGUUUUGAAAAAAGUUGGAUAUUCUCAAGUCUUAAAACUACUGUGAUGAAAUACAUGAACUCUGUCAAUAAAUCUUUGCUCUGUACUCUAAAGGUUUGACAC